CUAGCGUCCUUCUGCAGCUGUGACGGUCACGUUGUUGUAAGAAUACACCUGGUAGGUGUCAUCUGGUGGAUGACCUGUAUCUGGAUUCAGGUUUCUUUGAAUUGUAAAGAUGGGCUGCUUGGGUGCUGCAGAGAUUGUGGCUUCCUCGUUUUCCAGCAUGAAGACAACCGAAGACAUGGCUGGCCGAUCGUUCGGGCUAUCUUGCACGCACAGGAGGCCCACAUGGAUGCUUCUCAACACCUCGGUCGGAGAGCAUGUGUCGGCGAUGGAUGAAUCGACGUAGUCAUUCGCCUUGCCUUCGUUCCAGAGUUCCCAU
This 316-nucleotide long non-coding RNA is filed under the name Musa acuminata (dwarf banana). RNAcentral's name for it is "long non-coding RNA (MACU_LNC004369)". Lineage: Eukaryota; Viridiplantae; Streptophyta; Magnoliopsida; Zingiberales; Musaceae. The record is from RNAcentral.